UAUGAAAGGGUUAACGAGGAAGGUGCUGUGUCUAAAAACUUAGUUUAAACUAACUUAAAGGUGAAGAGGCCUUUAUAAAAAAGAAGGACGACAAGACCCUAUGAAGCUUUAUCUUAUUAGGGAUUUGAAAGAUCCUUAUACGAUUUUGAUGGGAGAUCAGUAAAAAUAAGUCUUUUACCAUUAUUUUUAUCUUACAAGUGUUUCCUAAUUUUAUAUGUGUGACUAGCUACUCUAGGGAUAACAGCGCAAUUUCUCCCGAAAGAUGGUAUUGGAGGGGAAGAUUGCGACCUCGAUGUUGGC
This 300-nucleotide ribosomal RNA is filed under the name Mytilus coruscus. RNAcentral's name for it is "partial 16S ribosomal RNA". It matches the Rfam family "Bacterial large subunit ribosomal RNA", at positions 1991 to 2536 of the family's 2925-position model. The record is from RNAcentral. Lineage: Eukaryota; Metazoa; Mollusca; Bivalvia; Mytilida; Mytilidae.